Molecule: ribosomal RNA, 610 nt
Filed under: Desmoscolecidae sp. 649_6-1500_X
Lineage: Eukaryota; Metazoa; Nematoda; Chromadorea; Desmoscolecida; Desmoscolecidae
Description: eukaryotic LSU rRNA
Rfam family: Eukaryotic large subunit ribosomal RNA
Source: RNAcentral
AGAGGGCGUGAAAACGCUUAGAAGGAAGCGAGAGGCGCCGCAAUUAGCCGGCAAGAUUCAGCUGCUAGCGGCUCUGUCGCGAAGCAGUGCAUUUUUUGUCGGUGUGCACUGAAAGCCAUUUGGAUUUCGUUUCGGCUCGGAAGUAGAAAGAUACUAUUUUGUAUUAGUUCCUUCCGUCUCGGCUCGUUAUCCGGUCGGUUAAAACACUCUGCAUUGAUCGGUUUUCAGCAAUCGUUUUCAAGCCUCUGGAGUUCGGCUUUCAGCCGUCUUCAGUUGGGGGGAAGCGGGCGCUGCAUCUCCGAGUAGGUGUUGUUUCGGUGUUAAUGUCGGCUACCCUCCCGACCCGUCUUGAAACACGGACCAAGGAGUCUAACGUGCACGCGAGUCAUAGGGUCUGUAAAACCUAUAGGCGAAAUGAAAGUGAAGGUCAGUUCGGCUGGCUGACACACGACCCGUCGGGCUUGCCCUUCGGUGCAGUGUGGUCCCAUCUUGAAUGCUUGUCAUUGAGGUGGAGAUUGAGCGUGCGUGUUGGGACCCGAAAGAUGGUGAACUAUGCCUGAACAGGAUGAAGCCAGAGGAAACUCUGGUGGAAGUCCGAAACGGUUCUGAC